CAAUUUCAAACCCAUUUCCCGUCUCUCUCUUCUCUCUCCAAACACACAUAGUGACAACAGCCAUCUUUUCUCCGACACUUAUUUUGUGCAAUGCAACGGCGCCGGCCAGACCUGACAUGAGCGCCCCUUCCAGAUCGUCGUGACGAUUUGAGCCACAUAGCCAUGGUGAUGCCAAUUUUGGGCAGCAUUGCUCGUGGCGUGAGCUUCGGUGCUGUAAUGAUGGUGAUUUUUUUGGUGUGCGUAGCUGCUGCUUUAGGGAUUUUUUGGGUGGGGAUGCCGUGAUGAAGUUACUUGUACUCGAUCGCUGCAAAUGAUGGCACUAUAAUAGUUUCAGAUCUCGCCGCUGCAACGGUGAUGACAAUGCGAUGGCGGCUGCUGCAAUCACAACUUCAGAUUACGGUACCUAUAAGGUCAAUGUUUGGAUUUUUUUGCUAGAUUGGUGUAGCACUCAUUGUGAGCGGUGUGGUGUAGUUUGGCGAGUUAGAUUUGGUGGUAUUGUAUGGUGUGGUGGUGGUGUGGUGUAGUGUGGCAAUGUGGCUAAGUGAGUUGGUGGCUUUGGUGUUGUACAGGCGAUGGUGUGGUAGUCGACGGUGAUGCACUGUGGCGAUGAUGGAGACGAAUGGGGUGUCUAUGACCAACAAUUAGAUGUCUGUGACCAACAAUUAGGCUCUGUGACCAUCUAUUUAGGCAUAUGUGACCAAAUAUUAUGUGUCUAUGACUAAAUAAGAAUUUGUGAUCAAUAAACUGUGAUCCAUGUGGCCCAUAGCCAAAAU
Molecule: long non-coding RNA, 773 nt
Filed under: Olea europaea subsp. europaea
Lineage: Eukaryota; Viridiplantae; Streptophyta; Magnoliopsida; Lamiales; Oleaceae
Source: RNAcentral